GGUUGAGGAUGAGCAUGCGGAUGAUUAGUUAGUUGGCGGGGUAACGGCCCACCAAGACGAUGAUCAUUAGGGGAACUGAGAGGUUGAUCCCCCACACUGGCACUGAGAUACGGGCCAGACUCCUACGGGAGGCAGCAGUAGGGAAUAUUGGACAAUGGGUGCGAGCCUGAUCCAGCCAUGCCGCGUGCAGGAAGAAAGCCUUCUGGGUUGUAAACUGCUUUUCUCUGGGGAUAAAAGGCCCAUGCGUGGGACAUUGAAGGUACCAGAGGAAUAAGCCACGGCUAACUACGUGCCAGCAGCCGCGGUAAUACGUAGGUGGCAAGCGUUGUCCGGAUUUAUUGGGUUUAAAGGGUGCGUAGGCGGCUUUGUAAGUCAGUUGUGAAAUACGGCAGCUCAACUGUCGAGGUGCAAUUGAUACUGCAAAGCUUGAGUACUGAUGAGGUAGGCGGAAUGGACGGUGUAGCGGUGAAAUGCUUAGAGAUCGUCCAGAACACCGAUAGCGAAGGCAGCUUACUAAAGAGUAACUGACGCUGACGCACGAAAGUGUGGGGAUCAAACAGGAUUAGAUACCCUGGUAGUCCACACUGUAAACGAUGAUCACUCGAUGUGUGCGAUAUACGGCACGCG
RNAcentral lists this ribosomal RNA (627 nucleotides) under uncultured bacterium. RNAcentral describes it as "bacterial SSU rRNA". It matches the Rfam family "Bacterial small subunit ribosomal RNA", at positions 217 to 845 of the family's 1533-position model. The record is from RNAcentral.